This is a long non-coding RNA of Glycine soja, 1087 nucleotides long. RefSeq lists it as uncharacterized. The record is from RefSeq and is a predicted model, not a curated record. The transcript has 3 exons. Lineage: Eukaryota; Viridiplantae; Streptophyta; Magnoliopsida; Fabales; Fabaceae.
CAUUGAAAUAUUAAACUAAUCUCUCACUCUCUCGCUCACGCCUCACACGUUUUCUGUCUCUUGCUCACUCUACUCAGUUCCCUUCCCAAUCGCCGCUCAGCCAUCACCGUCGCCACUCACGGGGAGACUCGCCCUCCUCGACCGACGUUCCCUCCACAUCCUUCAACAAAGUUUCCGGCGUCUGUUCGAGCUUAUCCUCUCGUGAAGAAAAUAGACAUCUCAUUCUCGUGUUAGAAGAAAAGCCAACCUAGCUGCUGAUAACUUGACAAAGUUCAGUCUAUCUUCUCAGAUUCAGUCCCAGAUUUUGAUGGCAUUGAUCAGAGGGUGAUGGACCAUUACCGUAAAAAGGGAUAAUGCAAAGAUCUUGUCUGGAAAGGAAGAAUUAGCAAGAGUAAGUACGGAGGGUAAUGUAGCAAUACAAUGGUCUCACUCUAGAAAGGAAAUAUAGCAAUACAAUGGUCUCACUCUAGAAAGGAAAUAUGUAUAGCAACAACACUAAGUAGAGGUACAUGACACGGCCAGACUCACCUAAAUGCGACCAACAUGAUAAGAUGAUUGUAGCACCUCACAUGGUUAAGGGCCUACACGUGCCCACUACGUACUAACAUCCCCAUCUCAAUCUUUCUUUCUUAGCUAAGCCUCUUGUGCCCCCACUUAAUUAAAGUGUUUCAUUUCUCUUUGUUUCUUUCAAUAUGGUUUGAUUUUGAUCUUCGUUUCACCUUGCUUGUAAUAAGAAAAACGAAAAUGGUAACAUAGGUAUUCAUAGUGAAAAAUGCUAUCUAACUAAUAACUUUGCUCCUAAAAUAGGAAAAGCAAAAGCUUAGCAAAUAUAAGUAAGAAGUCUUCAUUAAUAUAAGUGGGAGACUCCUGAAAACUUAAAGCCUUGAGAUUUUGAUGAAUUAGAUGGGAUGUUGAAUUCAUUUGUAUCUACUCGUAGUGUAUCAAUAAAGAGAUUUCUCCAAUAUUUUAGUCCAUUGUAUUUUUCAUUAUGGAUUGUGCGAUUUUAGUCCAUUGUAUUUUUCAUUAUGGAUUGUUGUUACUUCAGUUCUGUGAUCUUCUGAGAGGUAAUAGAAGUUGUGUGUGUGCG